This 162-nucleotide unclassified non-coding RNA is filed under the name uncultured Mycosphaerellaceae. The record is from RNAcentral. Lineage: Eukaryota; Fungi; Ascomycota; Dothideomycetes; Mycosphaerellales; Mycosphaerellaceae.
CUGAGUUCGGGGGCAAUCCCAGUCCCGACCUCCAACCCUUUGUGAACUUAUCUUGUUGCUUCGGGGGCGACCCUGCCGUUCGCGGCAUUCCCCCCGGAGGUCAUCAAAACACUGCAUUAUUACGUCGGAGUAAAAAGUUAAUUUAAUAAAACUUUCAACAAC